Molecule: ribosomal RNA, 253 nt
Filed under: uncultured bacterium
Lineage: Bacteria
Description: partial 16S ribosomal RNA
Rfam family: Bacterial small subunit ribosomal RNA
Source: RNAcentral
UACGUAGGGCGCAAGCGUUGUCCGGAAUUAUUGGGCGUAAAGAGCUCGUAGGCGGCCCGGUAAGUCGGUUGUGAAAACCCGGGGCUCAACCCCGGGCCUGCAUCCGAUACUCCCGGGCUGGAGGCAGGUAGGGGAGAUCGGAAUUCCUGGUGUAGCGGUGAAAUGCGCAGAUAUCGGGAAGAACACCCGUGGCGAAGGCGGUUCUCUGGGACGGUACUGACGCUGAGACGCGAAAGCGUGGGGAGCGAUCCGG